UACGAAGGGGGCUAGCGUUGCUCGGAAUCACUGGGCGUAAAGGGUGCGUAGGCGGGUCUUUAAGUCAGGGGUGAAAUCCUGGAGCUCAACUCCAGAACUGCCUUUGAUACUGAAGAUCUUGAGUUCGGGAGAGGUGAGUGGAACUGCGAGUGUAGGAGGUGAAAUUCGUAGAUAUUCGCAAGAACACCAGUGGCGAAGGCGGCUCACUGGCCCGAUACUGACGCUGAGGCACGAAAGCGUGGGGAGCAAACAGG
Molecule: ribosomal RNA, 254 nt
Filed under: uncultured bacterium
Lineage: Bacteria
Description: partial 16S ribosomal RNA
Rfam family: Bacterial small subunit ribosomal RNA
Source: RNAcentral